Molecule: ribosomal RNA, 1477 nt
Filed under: uncultured Bordetella sp.
Lineage: Bacteria; Pseudomonadati; Pseudomonadota; Betaproteobacteria; Burkholderiales; Alcaligenaceae
Description: partial 16S-23S ribosomal RNA intergenic spacer
Rfam family: Bacterial small subunit ribosomal RNA
Source: RNAcentral
GGUUCGAUCAUGGCUCAGAUUGAGCUGUGGCAGGAUGCUUUACACAUGCAGGUCGAACUGGCACGGGCUUUACGGUCUGAUGGCGAGUGGCAACAAACAGGUGGUAUUAAUGUAUCGGAACGUGCUGUGUGGGGGAUAACUACCAUGAAGCGUAGCUGUAUACCGCAUGCCCUUCGGGGAAAGCGGGGACCUUCGGGCCUCGCCACUAUUGAGCUUGAAGCCAUUAUCGGUUAGCUAGUUGGUGGAGUAACGGCUCCGCAAGUGACGUCGUAGCUGGUUUGGGGACGACCAGCACACUGCAGGACUGAGACGGCCCAGACUCUGCGGGAGGCAGCAGUAGGGAAAUUUUGGACAAUGGGGGAAGCCUGAUCCAGCCAUCCCGCGUGUGCGAUGAAGGCCUUCAGUUUGUAAACACUUUUUAACGCGAAAAAAACGGCGGGAUAAUACUGAUGCAACACAGCAGUACCUGCCAGAACAAGCACCGGCUUCAACUACGUGCCAGCAUUACCGCAGCGGUAAUACCGCGUAGGGGUAUAGCGUUGUCUGGAGUACUGGGCGUACGGCGACGCACCCGGGCAGUUGGAAAAGAAGAUGCUGAAAUCCCAGAGCUUGUACUUUGGAACUGCAUUUUAACUACCUGAGCUGGAGAGUGUCAGAGGGGUGGAAUUAUUCACGUGUAGCAGUGAAAUGCGUAGAUAUGCGGAGGAACACCGAUGGCGAAGGCAGCUCGCAGGAUAACACUGACACUCAUGCACGAAAGCGUGGGAGCAAACAGGAUUAGAUACCCUGGUAGUCACGCCUAAACGAUGUCAACUGGCACUGUUGGGGUAUUCGGGCCUUGGUAGCGCAGCUAACGCGUGAAGUUGACCGCUGGGAGGUACGGUCGCAAGAUUAAGGCUCAAGGGAAUUGACGGAGACCGCACAAGCGGUGGAUGGUGAUGUGGAUUAAUUCGAUGCAGCACCGAAAACCUUGCCUACCGCAGCAUGUCUGGAAUCCCGAAGAGAUUUGGGAGUGUCUCACUGAGAACCGGGAACACAGGUGUUUUGCAUGGCUGUCGUCAGCUCAUGUCGUGAAUGUGGAUUAGUCAAAGCGCCGGCGCAACCCUUGUCAUUAGUUGCUACGAAAAGGCACUCUCAUGAGACUGCAAGUGAAACCGGAGAAGGUGGAGAUGACGUCAAGUCCUCAUGGCUGCUAUGGUAGGGCUUCACACGUCAUGCAAUGUGGUCGGGACAGAGGGUCGCCAACCUACGAAGGCCAAUCCCAGAAACCCGAUCGUAGUCCGGAUCAGUCUGCAACUCAACGUGAGAGAAUGUCAGAAUCGCUGUCGCGGAUCCCAGCAUGUCGCGGUGAAUACGUUCCGGGUCUUGCACACCGCCCGUCACACCAGCAUGGGAGUGGGUUUACCCAGAAGUAGUUAGCCUGCCGUAAAAUGUUGGUAGGAUUCAUGGCUGGGGUGAAGAAGUCGCAACAAGGUAG